RNAcentral lists this ribosomal RNA (405 nucleotides) under uncultured bacterium. RNAcentral describes it as "partial 16S ribosomal RNA". It matches the Rfam family "Bacterial small subunit ribosomal RNA", at positions 28 to 526 of the family's 1533-position model. The record is from RNAcentral.
GACGAACGCUGGCGGCGUGCUUAACACAUGCAAGUCGAACGAGUGGCGAACGGGUGAGUAACACGUGGGUGACCUGCCCUGCACUUCGGGAUAAGCCUGGGAAACUGGGUCUAAUACCGGCUAGUGUGGGAUGGGCCCUCGGCAUAUCAGCUUGUUGGUGGGGUAAUGGCUACCAAGGCGCGACGGGUAGCCGGCCUGAGAGGAGGAUCAGCCACACUGGGACUGAGACACGGCCCAGACUCCUACGGGAGGCAGCAGUGGGUAAUAUUGCACAAUGGGCGCAAGCCUGAUGCAGCCAUGCCGCGUGUAUGAAGAAGGCCUUAGGGUUGUAAAGUACUUGCAGCGGGGAGGCGUUACCCGCAGAAGAAGCACCGGCUAACUCCGUGCCAGCAGCCGCGGUAAUUC